RNAcentral lists this ribosomal RNA (140 nucleotides) under uncultured bacterium. RNAcentral describes it as "partial 16S ribosomal RNA". It matches the Rfam family "Bacterial small subunit ribosomal RNA", at positions 355 to 509 of the family's 1533-position model. The record is from RNAcentral.
UGGGGAAUAUUGCACAAUGGGCGCAAGCCUGAUGCAGCAACGCCGCGUGAGCGAGGAAGGCCUUCGGGUCGUAAAGCUCUGUCCUUGGGGAAGAAGGAAGUGACGGUACCCAAGGAGGAAGCCCCGGCUAACUACGUGCC